This 253-nucleotide ribosomal RNA is filed under the name uncultured bacterium. RNAcentral describes it as "partial 16S ribosomal RNA". It matches the Rfam family "Bacterial small subunit ribosomal RNA", at positions 524 to 776 of the family's 1533-position model. The record is from RNAcentral.
UACGUAGGGUGCGAGCGUUAAUCGGAAUUACUGGGCGUAAAGCGUGCGCAGGCGGCUUCGCAAGUCAGGCGUGAAAUCCCCGGGCUUAACCUGGGAAUUGCGCUCGAAACUACUUUGCUGGAGUGUGGCAGAGGAAGGUGGAAUUCCACGUGUAGCGGUGAAAUGCGUAGAGAUGUGGAGGAACACCAAUGGCGAAGGCAGCCUUCUGGGCCAACACUGACGCUCAUGCACGAAAGCGUGGGGAGCAAACAGG